GGUGGUUCUCCGGUGAUGCAUCCCAGAAUCGGGCUCCCUCCUCUCUGGUUCUGGGUGCGUCACCCGAGAACUGUG
Non-coding RNA from Myotis lucifugus (little brown bat), 75 nucleotides. Lineage: Eukaryota; Metazoa; Chordata; Mammalia; Chiroptera; Vespertilionidae. The record is from Rfam.